This 274-nucleotide ribosomal RNA is filed under the name uncultured bacterium. RNAcentral's name for it is "partial small subunit ribosomal RNA". It matches the Rfam family "Bacterial small subunit ribosomal RNA", at positions 26 to 285 of the family's 1533-position model. The record is from RNAcentral.
AGAACGAACGUUAGCGGCGCGCUUAACACAUGCAAGUCGAGCGAGGGACCCUUCGGGGUACCCGAGCGGCGAACGGGUGAGUAACACGUGAGCAAUCUGCCUUCAGCUCCGGGAUAACGCGCUGUGGCAACACAGCUUUACUGGAAACCGGGGCUAAUACCGGAUAUGACACUCGCAGGCAUCUGCUGGGUGUGGAAAGUUUUUCGGCGAGGGAUGGGCCCGCGGCCUAUCAGCUUGUUGGUGGGGUGAUGGCCUACCAAGGCAGUGACGGGUA